ACGAUUAAAGCUCCCUUCGGGGAGUGCAUAAAGUGGCGCACGGGUGAGUAACACGUAAGUAAUCUACCUUCGAGUGGGGAAUAACAACCGGAAACGGUUGCUAAUACCGCAUAAUGCAGCGGCAUCGCAAGAUGACAGUUGUUAAAGAUUUAUCGCUUGAAGAGGAGCUUGCGGCAGAUUAGCUAGCUGGUAAGGUAACGGCUUACCAAGGCGACGAUCUGUAUCCGGUCUAAGAGGACGGUCGGACACACUGACACUGAAUAACGGGUCAGACUCCUACGGGAGGCAGCAGUCGGGAAUUUUGGGCAAUGGGCGCAAGCCUGACCCAGCAACGCCGCGUGAAGGAUGAAGUUUUUCGGAAUGUAAACUUCGUAAGAAUAGGAAGAAUAAAUGACGGUACUAUUUGUAAGGUCCGGCUAACUACGUGCCAGCAGCCGCGGUAAUACGUAGGGACCAAGCGUUG
Molecule: ribosomal RNA, 463 nt
Filed under: uncultured bacterium
Lineage: Bacteria
Description: bacterial SSU rRNA
Rfam family: Bacterial small subunit ribosomal RNA
Source: RNAcentral